Non-coding RNA from Caretta caretta (loggerhead turtle), 2780 nucleotides. NCBI's taxonomy places the organism in Eukaryota, Metazoa, Chordata, Testudines, Cheloniidae. The record is from RefSeq and is a predicted model, not a curated record.
AACCUUUCCAAUUAGCUAGAUCUGAGACUGUGCUGUAAAUAUUAGAGGUCCGUGCCUUGGGCAUUUUGGCACUCUACUCCAAUAUUGGCAUCUGGACACACUGGGGGCUUUAGUGUUUGAAGUUGGUGGUACGGAGCUCUGGUUCAUUGUGUGAAGCAGAGCCUCUGUAGAAAAGGCCAAGGCAUGAAACACCAAGAGAGGUCUAACAGCUUCUCAAAGCCCAUGACUCCUGGCAGCUUGAGUAUGUAGGUCUCUGGGCAUCCUUAUGCAUUCAUGAGCUCAAAGCGGGCAUGGGGCAGAGUUUCCUGAUAUUGGUAUGUGUAGUGGUCUGUCACAAUUAUUCUUAGUCCUAGCACGUCUGCCACAAAACCCAUAGUACCUUUGAGGCAUUCCUCUGACCUUGCAUUGGCAGAGGUAGGAUCUCUUGAUGCAUUGGAGUGUUUUUUGUGCUAAGGCUGAUGCUCAUGCAGCAAGAGUCUGUUUUUCCCAGGUAGGAAGUCUUGACAAUGAUGAUCUAGCACCUCUUACGCUAUGGAUUUCACAAAGCAGAUAAGAUGCUUAGAACCCCUCCAUCACCUAGACAGUUCCAGCUGUGUAAAUGAGGGCAGACUGAGUAUCAGGGUGAUAAAGGCUGUUCUUUGGACUCAGGUGAGCAAGAGGACUAGUUUUAUGCCAAAUAAUUUCUGCGGUAGAGGAACACACCAAUGCCUACAAGAGAGGAGCCCAACUUUCUCCAGUUCUUAUAGAAGCUGACUAAACAAAUGCAUUUUAAUUGAAACUGGUCCAAAAAUUUGCUAAGUCCCCAGUUGAAGUACGUAGCCCAGGAUACUCUUGCAUCUUAUUUUGGACCAGCAACUGAAGAAGGUGUAGCAGACCUCUCAUGCAACUGACCAAGCCUGGAAGACAGCCAAUGAAAAAAAUAUUUUCUUUGUGAGGGUGAUCCCAGCUAUCUAACUGUCUGGAGUGACUCAAGAGCAAGAGUACCAACCUCAGGGCAGCACCAACCCCCCAAAUUGGUCAUGAGUUCUAUACUUAGAUGUCACCAACCAAUUAUCAAGUAUAAACUCUGAGGCACUACAAGAGCCUUAACACAGGGUCACAGACAGUUCUCUUGGGUACUCUCUCUGUGUUACCACCCGGAUAAGCCUACCUUUGUGCUAGAUGGUACGUUACAUCAAGAGUCACAGCAAUAUUCAGGUUACUUGUAGUCCCAAAGGACCAGUCACUUACCUUGGGUCAGUUGCACCUUAGAGCUCACACCAAAGACCAUGCUUGUAGCCAAUCCUAAACUAGCUAAAGAUUUAUUAAAUAGGAAAAGGAAACAGAGUUAUUUACAAGGUUAAAUCAGGUAAACAUAGGUAGAGAAAUAAGCUACAAUCUUAAAUUUCAAAAGGUAAUAGUAGAUUCUCUAAUAAGCAAGCUCUGUAUGUCCUUUAGGGCUAAUCUAGGCUAAACUGCAGGGGAUCACUGGCUUAUGUUUAGGAACCUUGCCUCCAGGUUCCAAGCAGCAAUGAGAAACAGUUCCUUCUUGUUACAGGUUUUUAUUCACUUCUCCCCUUGCGCUCUGAGCUGCAAACUCAUCUAAUGGGAGGAAUUCACUUGCAUGACUCAUCUUGCAUCUCAUGGCAGAGAGCAAUCAGCAAAGUCUUUUGUCCUCUUUAAUGCUCCAUAGUAGUUUGUUUGGAGUUGAUGGGCCUUCCCUGUUGAGCAGGACAUAACACCUUCUGUUGGAGACCAGCAUUUCACACUAGUUAAUGUCCCUCUCCUGUCUAGUGAUUUACACAGUUACUGAGGCUUACAAUACAAAUGCUUAAAUAUUAUUGUGUAAUAUGGGAUACAUAUUAUAAGUGAGAAUGCAUGCAGCAACUCACAAGCAUUCAAUAAAAUCUAACACAUUCUUAUAAUUCUAAUAUCUAUUAUAACAAUACUAUUACACAGGUGAGCCAGACUGAUUCCAGUUAUGGAUAUGUCGGUGUUCAAUUGAGACAUGGGGAUCUUGGCAUGAGCUGGUACCUGGUCUGUCAGCAUCAUACCCUCUACAGCUCUCACCCUCCUUAUGUUAGAGAUCUUCAGGUAUGGUAUCUCUGAGCAGGUGAUUUGGUCCUCCUGGCAUUUCAGAAGCCAUCUACAAAAAGGAGCUACAACUCCAAGUGGAUAAUUAAGAGUCCUCUCCAAGGUGGUCUUGAAGUUUCCACAAUAUUCACUGGGCAUGGCUGUUACUAGAGGACUAUACCUGAAUGAAUAUCUGAUUGCAUUUCACAUUGCUAGGGACUGGCUGACCUGAAACUAGAAAGUUAUGUCAAUGUUCGCGCAAUUCAGAUGAACGCUGACCAUAACCUACCUUCAUGGAUGUUUUCAUCAGACAUAUGUAAAGUAGCUGCAUGGUUUUCUCUCCAUAUGUUCACAAAGCAUUAUUGCAUAGGCUCCUCAUCCAGGAGGAAAUCCUGUUUUGGAUUCUUGCAUUUCCAAGGUGGAGAAGGCCAAACUCUUUUACCUGGAGAAGUUUUUUUUUUUUAAUGUCAAGAUAUCCCAAAUUUUCAUUUGUCUCACUUGUGUGGGUUUGUCUUUCUGAUAAUUAUUUCUUUCAGCAGACUUCAAUGUUAUGUCCAAUUACUUGAUUUGUAAGAGGUCACUUGCUGCUCCUUAUACUGUUUAAUGCUGGACGUAAUAAAAGAAGAUCUCAGUUAAUGCUUUUGUCACUAACCUUGUUAUUGCCACUUGUUUUAAUGUCUGUCUCUCUUUUUGGACAUUUUUCAGUCUUUCUUUCCUGAAGUGAGAGU